GUGGGGAAUUUUGGACAAUGGGCGCAAGCCUGAUCCAGCAAUGCCGCGUGCAGGAUGAAGGCCUUCGGGUUGUAAACUGCUUUUGUACGGAACGAAAAGCUUCGGGCUAAUACCCUGGAGUCAUGACGGUACCGUAAGAAUAAGCACCGGCUAACUACGUGCCAGCAGCCGCGGUAAUACGUAGGGUGCAAGCGUUAAUCGGAAUUACUGGGCGUAAAGCGUGCGCAGGCGGUUUUGUAAGACAGAGGUGAAAUCCCCGGGCUCAACCUGGGAAAUGCCUUUGUGACGGCAAGGCUAGAGUGCGGCAGAGGGGGAUGGAAUUCCGCGUGUAGCAGUGAAAUGCGUAGAUAUGCGGAGGAACACCGAUGGCGAAGGCAAUCCCCUGGGCCUGUACUGACGCUCAUGCACGAAAGCGUGGGGAGCAAACAGGAUUAGAUACCCGUGUAGUCC
RNAcentral lists this ribosomal RNA (450 nucleotides) under uncultured bacterium. RNAcentral describes it as "partial 16S ribosomal RNA". It matches the Rfam family "Bacterial small subunit ribosomal RNA", at positions 354 to 796 of the family's 1533-position model. The record is from RNAcentral.